CGUCGGGAUGUGCCAUCACUU
RNAcentral lists this unclassified non-coding RNA (21 nucleotides) under synthetic construct. The record is from RNAcentral.